CACUCUGGUGGCCUAGUGGUUAGAGUGUCUGCCUAUAAUGCGGAAGGUCAUGGGUUCGAUCCCGAGCCAAGUCA
Non-coding RNA from Potamilus streckersoni, 74 nucleotides. Lineage: Eukaryota; Metazoa; Mollusca; Bivalvia; Unionida; Unionidae. The record is from the annotation of a GenBank genome assembly.